GUAAUACGUAGGGUGCAAGCGUUAUCCGGAUUUAUUGGGCGUAAAGGGCGCGCAGGCGGCCACCAGCAGUGGCCCGUGGAAUCUCUCCGCUCAACGGAGAGGGGCCGGGCCAGACGGGGUGGCUUGGGGCAGGCAGAGGCAUGCAGAACGGGCGGAGUAGGGGUGAAAUCCGUAGAGACCGUCCGGAAUACCAGUGGCGAAGGCGGCAUGCUGGGCCUGAAGCCGAAAGGCUGAACCCGACGCUCGGGCGCGAAAGCGUGGGGAGCGAACGGAAUUAGAUACUCCGGUAGUCCACGCCCUAAACGAUGGCAACUCGGUGUCGGGGGUAUCGACCCCCCCGGCGCCUAAGUCAACACGGUAAGUUGCCCGCCUGGGGACUACGGCCGCAAGGCUAAAACUCAAAGGAAUUGACGGGGGCCCGCACAAGCAGCGGAGCGUGUGGUUUAAUUCGACACAACGCGAAGAACCUUACCGGGGUUUGAACUGCACAGGACAGCCCUAGAGAUAGGGUCUCCCUUCGGGGCCUGUGUAGAGGUGCUGCAUGGCUGUCGUCAGCUCGUGUCGUGAGAUGUUGGGUUAAGUCCCGCAACGAGCGCAACCCUUGCCUCCUGUUGCUAACGAGUAAAGUCGAGCACUCUGGAGAGACUGCCGGUGAUAAACCGGAGGAAGGUGGGGAUGACGUCAAGUCCUCAUGGCCUUUAUGCCCCGGGCUACACACGUGCUACAAUGGCUGGUACAAAGGGUUGCAAAACCGCGAGGUGGAGCUAAUCCCAAAAAGCCAGUCCCAGUUCGGAUUGCA
This 799-nucleotide ribosomal RNA is filed under the name uncultured bacterium. RNAcentral's name for it is "bacterial SSU rRNA". It matches the Rfam family "Bacterial small subunit ribosomal RNA", at positions 520 to 1302 of the family's 1533-position model. The record is from RNAcentral.